AGAGCGAACGCUGGCGGCAGGCUUAACACAUGCAAGUCGAACGGAUCCUUCGGGAUUAGUGGCGGACGGGUGAGUAACACGUGGGAACGUGCCUUUUGGUUCGGAACAACUCAGGGAAACUUGAGCUAAUACCGGAUGUGCCCUUCGGGGGAAAGAUUUAUCGCCAUUAGAGCGGCCCGCGUCUGAUUAGCUAGUUGGUGAGGUAAAGGCCCACCAAGGCUACGAUCAGUAGCUGGUCUGAGAGGAUGACCAGCCACAUUGGGACUGAGACACGGCCCAAACUCCUACGGGAGGCAGCAGUGGGGAAUCUUGCGCAAUGGGCGAAAGCCUGACGCAGCCAUGCCGCGUGAGUGAAGAAGGCCUUAGGGUUGUAAAGCUCUUUCAGUAGGGACGAUGAUGACGGUACCUACAGAAGAAGCCCCGGCUAACUCCGCGCCAGCAGCCGC
RNAcentral lists this ribosomal RNA (446 nucleotides) under uncultured bacterium. RNAcentral's name for it is "SSU rRNA". It matches the Rfam family "Bacterial small subunit ribosomal RNA", at positions 26 to 518 of the family's 1533-position model. The record is from RNAcentral.